Molecule: non-coding RNA, 122 nt
Organism: Ceratotherium simum simum (southern white rhinoceros)
Lineage: Eukaryota; Metazoa; Chordata; Mammalia; Perissodactyla; Rhinocerotidae
Source: RefSeq, a predicted model, not a curated record
AGGGGAGGAGAGGCCCCGCUGAAGGUGCCCAGGGCCAUAGGGUCUUUUCAGGAGCCUCGGGCCAGAGGCGGGGUUCUGACCACGGUGUUGCUCCCGGGUAAACCGGGUCAACCACCCUGCAA